RNAcentral lists this ribosomal RNA (497 nucleotides) under uncultured bacterium. Its description in RNAcentral is "partial 16S ribosomal RNA". It matches the Rfam family "Bacterial small subunit ribosomal RNA", at positions 28 to 507 of the family's 1533-position model. The record is from RNAcentral.
GAUGAACGCUGGCGGCGUGCCUAAUACAUGCAAGUCGAGCGAACAGACGAGGAGCUUGCUCCUCUGACGUUAGCGGCGGACGGGUGAGUAACACGUGGAUAACCUACCUAUAAGACUGGGAUAACUUCGGGAAACCGGAGCUAAUACCGGAUAAUAUAUUGAACCGCAUGGUUCAAUAGUGAAAGACGGUUGUGCUGUCACUUAUAGAUGGAUCCGCGCCGCAUUAGCUAGUUGGUAAGGUAACGGCUUACCAAGGCAACGAUGCGUAGCCGACCUGAGAGGGUGAUCGGCCACACUGGAACUGAGACACGGUCCAGACGCCUACGGGAGGCAGCAGUAGGGAAUCUUCCGCAAUGGGCGAAAGCCUGACGGAGCAACGCCGCGUGAGUGAUGAAGGUCUUCGGAUCGUAAAACUCUGUUAUUAGGGAAGAACAAAUGUGUAAGUAACUAUGCACGUCUUGACGGUACCUAAUCAGAAAGCCACGGCUAACUACGUG